Molecule: transfer RNA, 72 nt
Filed under: Marmota monax (woodchuck)
Lineage: Eukaryota; Metazoa; Chordata; Mammalia; Rodentia; Sciuridae
Rfam family: tRNA
About the family: Transfer RNA (tRNA) molecules are approximately 80 nucleotides in length. Their secondary structure includes four short double-helical elements and three loops (D, anti-codon, and T loops).
Source: Rfam by way of RNAcentral
UGGGGUGUGGCUCCAUGGUAGAGUACUUGCCUCGCAUGCAUGAGGCAAUGGGUUCGAUCCUCAGCAUCACAU